Molecule: ribosomal RNA, 496 nt
Filed under: Agrobacterium sp. SCAU667
Lineage: Bacteria; Pseudomonadati; Pseudomonadota; Alphaproteobacteria; Hyphomicrobiales; Rhizobiaceae
Description: bacterial SSU rRNA
Rfam family: Bacterial small subunit ribosomal RNA
Source: RNAcentral
UUCCUGCGGAAUAGCUCCGGGAAACUGGAAUUAAUACCGCAUACGCCCUACGGGGGAAAGAUUUAUCGGGGAAGGAUUGGCCCGCGUUGGAUUAGCUAGUUGGUGGGGUAAAGGCCUACCAAGGCGACGAUCCAUAGCUGGUCUGAGAGGAUGAUCAGCCACAUUGGGACUGAGACACGGCCCAAACUCCUACGGGAGGCAGCAGUGGGGAAUAUUGGACAAUGGGCGCAAGCCUGAUCCAGCCAUGCCGCGUGAGUGAUGAAGGCCUUAGGGUUGUAAAGCUCUUUCACCGGAGAAGAUAAUGACGGUAUCCGGAGAAGAAGCCCCGGCUAACUUCGUGCCAGCAGCCGCGGUAAUACGAAGGGGGCUAGCGUUGUUCGGAAUUACUGGGCGUAAAGCGCACGUAGGCGGAUAUUUAAGUCAGGGGUGAAAUCCCAGAGCUCAACUCUGGAACUGCCUUUGAUACUGGGUAUCUUGAGUAUGGAAGAGGUAAGUG